CAGGCCCUAAGAGAAUGUAAAUACAGUGUCAGCCUUCCAAACCAGAUUGUUUCCAACAAUGGAGAUACAGAAGGGGCCUCUGAUACAGUCUUUCUAGAAUAUUCCAUCCAGUUUCCUAAGACAUUGCUGCCCUACACCGGCCAGGUUUCAGAAAAUAACGUUUGCGGAAUGUGACAGCACAGGACUGAAUGACUCCACUACAACAGGAAGGUAGGCUGUGGAGAUGGGGCUGCUGCAGCGAACGGGCAAGGUCCCACCCUGGAAAGGCCCACUCAGCUACCCUUUGUUGGCCUUCCUGCCUCACCCUACCCACUACCUAUGGUUUGUACCAAGGCAGCUAUUACAUCACUCCUAAUUCAAACUGCAUCACUGCUCAUCAGCCCCAGGGGAGAGUCAAAGCCCGGAGGUCCACAACACACGUAACCCUGGUUCUGAUGGCACCCUGAUGCUCUACGUGACACCCUUCCUCAGACAAGACUCAGACUUCUCGACCAUUCCAUUUAAAAGCCACAUCUUCAGGCAGAGGCAGGAGGACUGCCAUAAGUUCCAGGCUAAUCACACAAGGGCUAAGUGUGGAGACUCUGUCUCAAUCAAUCAAUCAGGAUAAAUAACUAGACGCAUUCUAGAAACUGGGGGCUGGCAAGAUGGCUCAGUGGUAAAGACACCCACAGCCAGGCCCGAGGACUCGCAUUCUGUCCCCAGGAUUCACAUGGUGGAAACAGAGAACAGAUUCCCAUUAGCUGUCCCCUGACCUCCAG
Molecule: long non-coding RNA, 758 nt
Organism: Mastomys coucha (southern multimammate mouse)
Lineage: Eukaryota; Metazoa; Chordata; Mammalia; Rodentia; Muridae
Exons: 3
Source: RefSeq, a predicted model, not a curated record